GAUUGAACGCUGGCGGCAGGCCUAACACAUGCAAGUCGAGCGGAUGAAGGGAGCUUGCUCCUGGACUCAGCGGCGGACGGGUGAGUAAUGCCUAGGAAUCUGCCCGGUAGUGGGGGAUAACGUCCGGAAACGGGCGCUAAUACCGCAUACGUCCUGAGGGAGAAAGUGGGGGAUCUUCGGACCUCACGCUAUCAGAUGAGCCUAGGUCGGAUUAGCUAGUUGGUGGGGUAAAGGCCUACCAAGGCGACGAUCCGUAACUGGUCUGAGAGGAUGAUCAGUCACACUGGAACUGAGACACGGUCCAGACUCCUACGGGAGGCAGCAGUGGGGAAUAUUGGACAAUGGGCGAAAGCCUGAUCCAGCCAUGCCGCGUGUGUGAAGAAGGUCUUCGGAUUGUAAAGCACUUUAAGUUGGGAGGAAGGGCAGUAAGUUAAUACCUUGCUGUUUUGACGUUACCAACAGAAUAAGCACCGGCUAACUUCGUG
RNAcentral lists this ribosomal RNA (485 nucleotides) under uncultured bacterium. Its description in RNAcentral is "partial 16S ribosomal RNA". It matches the Rfam family "Bacterial small subunit ribosomal RNA", at positions 27 to 507 of the family's 1533-position model. The record is from RNAcentral.